AACCUCCGCAAUGUGAGAAAUCGCGACGGGGGGAUCCCAAGUGCCAUUCUUAACGGGAUGGCUUUUCAUUAGUGUAAAGAGCUUCUGGAAUAAGAGCUGGGCAAGACCGGUGCCAGCCGCCGCGGUAACACCGGCAGCUCUAGUGGUAACAAUUUUUAUUGGGCCUAAAGCGUCCGUAGCCGGUUUAAUAAGUCUCUGGUGAAAUCCUGCAGCUUAACUGUGGGAAUUGCUGGAGAUACUAUUAGACUUGAGACCGGGAGAGGUUAGCGGUACUCCCAGGGUAGAGGUGAAAUUCUGUAAUCCUGGGAGGACCACCUGUGGCGAAGGCGGCUAACUGGAACGAACCUGACGGUGAGGGACGAAAGCUAGGGGCGCGAACCGGAUUAGAUACCCGGGUAGUCCUAGCCGUAAACGAUGCGGACUUGGUGUUGGGAUGGCUUUGAGCCGCUCCGGUGCCGAAGGGAAGCUGUUAAGUCCGCCGCCUGGGAAGUACGGUCGCAAGACUGAAACUUAAAGGAAUG
Molecule: ribosomal RNA, 521 nt
Filed under: uncultured bacterium
Lineage: Bacteria
Description: bacterial SSU rRNA
Rfam family: Archaeal small subunit ribosomal RNA
Source: RNAcentral